Molecule: long non-coding RNA, 1922 nt
Organism: Dicentrarchus labrax (European seabass)
Lineage: Eukaryota; Metazoa; Chordata; Actinopteri; Moronidae
Exons: 3
Source: RefSeq, a predicted model, not a curated record
AGGAAGAUCUGAUUGUGUCAGUGUCGAUCGCCCUCACCUCGUCUCGAGGACUGAAGGUGAUCUGAGUGGACCCGCCCCCCAAAUCCAACAUCCCCACAGUGGGCGAGUCAGCUCUGUGAAGAUCACCUGGAGAGAGAGACAGAGAGAGAGAGAGAGAGACAGAGAGAGAGACAGAGAGAGAGAGAAGGGGGGAAUAAGACAAAAUAGAAAAAGAGAGAGAUUAGGAAAAACAGAGAGAGCUGCAGGAUAAUCCAAUAACAGAGCGGGACCUCUGAGGUUUUUCUGUGCGGUGAUAAACAAGGAGAAACAUCUGAGCUGCUCCACAGAUUAAACAAAUGAAAGGAUGAGGAGAUUCUCUGUAAUCUAAUAAACUGAUGAAGAGACCUGAUGAGAGGUCAGCAACCACAGGACGCCAUUAAAGGACCACUCAGCUUUAUAAGCACUGCAUUAAUGCUGAGCAACUUCCAAACACUAAUUAAUCACAAUAAAAGCUCUUGGAGCCACAUCCCGACAGGAAGUCGGCCAUUUUUCGUUGAACUUGAACAAACUCCUCCUACAGAAUCGAUGUGAUUGAACUCUAAAGACCUUCGUCACCUUCCAGCUCAAACAUUCACUACGUUUGUUAUCGGUGCUGCUUGGAAGACUUCCCACCUUCAUCAGUGCCGUCCAUGAUGGACACGCUGUCGUCUCUGGACAGAAAGGGAGACUCCAGAAACAGCGCCCUCACCUGGACACAAAGGGAAGCACAGGGUGGUAAAACUAAUGUGACACAUGUAUUAGAAUAUAAUAAUAAUUUAAUAUUUUAAUAAUAUUUAGUGUCAUCAGCUCUGCUCCUGUUAUUACUUAUUACUGAAGAGCUUUAUAGACCAUGAAGAGGAUGAAGAGGAUGAUGAUGAGGCAUUAGCAACUCACUGCCAUAAUGCAGACUGAUUGAUUGAUUGAUUGAUUGAUAAUUAAACAGUUUGAUCUUUAACAUGUUGUAACAAAGUGUUUCUUUUAGGGGUUUCAAUGUAAAUGUCUUUAUUAAUGUAUUUAUUGUUAUUUACUAUUACUGUCUGUCACUGGACAAUAUACGGAUGAUAAUAAUAAUAAUAAUAAUAAUAAUAAUAAUAAUAUGAACAUUUCUGUGUGUUUUAUUUUGAAAAACAAUGUGUGUGUGUCUCACCUUGUCCAGCAGGUGUUUGGCUUUCUCCCCCGGCAGCAGUCGCAGGCCGGCUGUGGCCUUCAGGACCACAGGGGUGAUGGUCCACAGGGAGGGGGGGACGCUGGACUUCGCCACCUCCAGAAGCUCCACGAUACCGGCUGUACACUGGACGCACGGGAGGAGACACACAAUGACACCAAUCUGAUGGAUGCUAACGUGCUAACGUGCUAACAGCAACGUACGGGCCUAUGAGAGAGUCAGUGUGAUGAAACAGUGUGAAAGCUCAACGAGGUCAGUCCUGUGUUGUAAUAAUGAAUAAUAUCAGAUCAGGUGGAUUACAGACAGAUGAUGACGUAGCACCUUCUCUGGAUCAUCAGCGUACGCAGACAGUCCAGGUUUGAUGGCUCUGAACGUCUCGUGGGCCAGUGUGGGAGCUUCUGCAGGAAACACGAUGAAGAUAAAGUUUAAACAACGACCUCUGUGUGUGUCCGAUUAAAGACAGGCAAUAAGUCCUGAUGAGUGUUUUACAAGCACAUUUAAUUUACUUUAUCUUUCUAACUGACCCUGGACCUGUGCCUACAUUUGAGCUGUCAUUAAGCUCUUAAUGACAAUCCCAGUCUGUAUAACUACCCGUUAGCUCUGAGGCUAACAAAGGAGCCAAAACAGCACUCAGCCUGUGUGAUUUAGCUUAGCGGUUAAAUGCGAUAACGAAGGCAUUUGGCCGAGCUCUGCAGGAAACUUUCUCUAAGCCUAAUAAACCCAAAACCUCUAAAACGCA